AUGUGCAUCAUUCAUUUGAUCCCCCCAACUCUGGGAGAUGGUAUAAUUCUAGUAAGCUCAUCUCUUAAUGACCGGGACCAAAGCCUUUUCCUGAGCACUGAUGAGGGGGCCACCUUUCAGAAACAACUCAUCACAUUCUUUGUUGAAACUCUGAUUUUCCAUCCCAAAGAAGAGGAUAAAGUGGUUGCCUACACUAAGGAGAGCAAGGUUUACUUAUCGACUGACUUAGGAAAGAAAUGGACCCUUCUUCAAGAACGAGUGACUAAGGACCAUGUUUUCUGGGCUGUAGCUGGAGUAGAUGGAGUAUCAGAUUUGGUUCAUAUGGAAACCCAGGAUCUCACUGGAGGUUUCCGGUAUGUCACCUGUCAGUCUCAGAAUUGCUCUGAUAGAACACCCACGAUUCCAUUUGCCAGCAGCAUUGACCACAAUUCCCUGACUGUGCAGGACGACUACAUAUUCUUUAAGGCGACCACAGCAAAUCGGACUAAAUACUAUGUAUCAUAUCGACGCAAUGAAUUUGUCCUGAUGAAACUACCAAAAUAUGCACUACCAAAGGACUUGCAGAUUAUCAGCACUGAUGAAAAUGAGGUAUUUGUGGCUGUCCAAGAAUGGUACCAAAUGGACACGUACAACCUUUACCAGUCAGACCCACAGGGCGUGUACUAUUCAAUUGUGCUUGAGAACGUUAGGAGCACGAAGCAACCAGAAGAAAACGUCCUGAUCGAUAUCCUGGAGGUCAGAGGUGUCAAAGGAGUCUUCCUGGCCAACCAAAAGAUUGAUGGAAAGGUCACAACACUGAUAACCUACAACAAAGGCCGUGACUGGGAUUAUCUGACGCCACCUGCCACUGACAUGAAUGGCAAACCCACCAACUGCAAACCUCCUGACUGCCAUCUUCACCUUCAUCUCCGAUGGGCAGACAAUCCAUACGUGUCAGGCACUGUCCAUACCAAGGACACAGCACCUGGUCUGAUCAUGGGAGCAGGUAACCUGGGCUCUCAGCUGGUGGAAUACAAAGAGGAAAUGUACAUCACAUCUGACUGUGGAAAUACUUGGCGUCAGGUCUUCGAAGAGGAACAUCACAUUCUGUACCUGGAUCAUGGUGGAGUGAUUGUGGCUAUCAAAGACACAUCCAUCCCUUUGAAAAUACUCAAGUUCAGCAUUGAUGAAGGUCACACCUGGAGCACACAUAAUUUCACAAGCACCUCAGUCUUCGUGGAUGGACUGCUAAGUGAGCCCGGGGAUGAGACUCUGGUCAUGACGGUCUUUGGUCACAUAAGUUUCCGUUCAGAUUGGGAACUGGUGAAGGUGGACUUCAGACCCUCUUUUCCCAGGCAGUGUACUGAGGAUGAUUAUGACUACUGGAACCUCACCAACUUACAGGGUAAUCGCUGUAUCAUGGGACAACAGAGGAGUUUCCGGAAAAGGAAGACCACAUCAUGGUGUAUCAAGGGGCAAAGCUUCACAUCAGUACUCACAUCUAGUGUGUGCAAAUGUUCAAGCUCAGAUUUUUUUUGUGAUUAUGGAUUUGAAAGAUCAGCAACUUCAAAAUCAGAAGCCAAAAAGUGUUUUGCGAAUUUCUGGUUUAAUCCUGACUCACCUCCUGAAGAUUGUGUGUUGGGGCAGGCAUAUACUAGCAGCCCAGGGUACCGGAAAGUGGUAUCUAAUGUCUGUGAAGGUGGUGUGGACCUGCAGCGGUACGUGCUUCAGCAUCAGUGCCCCCUGACAGCCCCCAGAGGGCUGCAAGUCAGCAUCAAAGGAGAGACUGUGGCCGUGAAGCCAGGAGAAGACAUCACGUUUGUGGUCAGACAGGAGCAGGGUGAUGUUCUAAAUACAAAGUACCUGGUGGAUCUUGGCGAUGGCUUUAAGGCUGUCUAUGUGAACCUCACUGUGACAGGGGAACCUAUCCGACACCGCUAUGAGAAUCCAGGAAUCUACCGGGUCUAUGUCAAAGCAGAAAAUGCUGCUGGGCAUGAGGAAGCUGUGCUGUUUGUUCAAGUGAAUUCUCCUCUACGGGCGCUACACCUGGAAGUAGUUCCUGUUAUUGGAGUAAACCAGGAAGUCAACCUCACUGCCAUUCUGCUGCCCAAGAACCCCAAUCUAACUGUCUUCUACUGGUGGAUAGGAAAUAACUUGCAGCCCCUUCUCUCUUUGGAUAAUUUUCUUGUCACGCGAUUUUCAGAAAUGGGUGAAGUCCGAGUAACAGUGCAAGCCUCCUGUGGGAAUUCCAUGCUCCAAGACUCCAAAGUCAUCAGGGUUUUAGAUCAAUUUCAAGUCCUGCCUCUGAAGUUUACUAAGCACUUGGAUAUAUACAAUCCCAACAUCCCUGAAUGGCGAGAAGACAUUGGCCUGGUCGUCACCCGCCUCCUUUCUGAGGAAACCAAUAUCCCUGAGGAAUCUCUGCUGACUGUGGUGAAACCAGGCCUGCCCACAACUGCUGACUUGCAUGUGCUCCUGCCAGCACCUAAACCAAAGAGGAAGAGGAGCAUACCAAGUGACAAGAGGAUCAUGGCCAUCAAACAAGCUUUGAAUGCCCACAAUAUCAGCUUUUUCCUAAGAGGAGGCUUCUGGGUACUUGUAACUCUACGUGACACAGAUUCAGAUUCUCAAAGGAUUGGAGGAGGAGGUGGCUAUUGGGCCCUCAUCGUUCUUUUCCUUAUCUGUCUUUUUGCAGUGGGAGCUUUCAUCCUCUACAAAUUUAAAAGGAAACUACCAGGCAGAACUGUUUAUGCCCAGAUGCACAAUGAAAAGGAACAGGAGAUGACCAGCCCAGUCAACCACAGCGAGGACACACAGAACAUCAUCCAGGGUGAGGAGUUUAUAGAUGAUGAUCUGGAUUCCCAAACCCUAGGUAAUCACUCAGGCGUGGUUCUGAGCAUCAACUCCCGAGAGAUGCACAGCUACCUGGUUAGCUGA
RNAcentral lists this long non-coding RNA (2916 nucleotides) under Monodelphis domestica (gray short-tailed opossum). Its description in RNAcentral is "lncRNA (ENSMODG00000002995.4)". Lineage: Eukaryota; Metazoa; Chordata; Mammalia; Didelphimorphia; Didelphidae. The record is from RNAcentral.